CACCGAUCUUACAAGAACCGAGUGGAUCUGGCAGACAGACAGAUGAAGGAUGGAAACGUGUCUCUGGUUGUGAUGAACGUGACGACCAGCGAUAAUGGAACAUAUGAAUGUCGAGUUCGAAAUCAAGGAAGCCUGGAUCCUGAACUGAUCAGAACCAUCAAGCUGCAUGUUUCCCUUCAUCCUCCUCCAGGAGACAAGAACUCAGGAAACCAGGAUGGAUCCAUCGGACUGAUAGUUGGUCUGAUUUCAUCUCUGCUGGUUUUUGCUGCUGCUGUUUUAUUUCUGAUGUAUAAGAAACAAUCUGCUUGUUUCAGGAAGAAACCCUCAGAUCCUCCAGCUGAUCUGUAGAUCAAUCAACGCCUUAAUUCUGUAAACAUAACAUGAUUUGCAUCAGAUUAUUGCUGCUUUUCUAAUCCAUCAUCAUGAACUGAUUUCCUCCUGCAGUUUGUUUUCUCUGUUUCAACAUCACAGCUGAUCAACUUCCUGAUCUGAUCAAUCAUGAUGUCACUCAUAUACAGGCCUGACAUCCACUGAUGUGAAAUGGACCAUAAUCCAUGUCUCUGGAUUAUAAUCUGCAGAACUUCCAUCAGUAAAAUCUUUCUCAGAUGCGUCCAGCUUGGUGAUUUAAAUGAUGCGUCAGUCCCAGCAGCAUCAGCUGAUUUUGGGCCGUUUGUUAUUGAUCCAUUUCACAUCAGUGGAUCCAUCCUCACCUUUAAUCUGAGGAGCAGAAAAGUGUUUCCUGGUCAUUUGGUGAUAAUCUGAGGAAAAUCCUGAAUGUCUGCAGACAUGAAGCUUCAUCAGGAUCCAUGUUGCAGCAAGAGAAAGAAAAAUGUUGGAAACAUGAAGAAUAAUCUGAUCAUCAUAUGAAUAUUUUAUUGAGUUUUUCUGUUUGUAUUUAUUCUGACCUCAAUGUGUUUCUCAGGUUUACAUGUUUGUGCUUUUUUAUAAAGUGUUUAUUUUGUUAUGUUUUCCAGUAUUAUGAUGAAUAAAAGCCUGAAACAUUGAAGUGA
This is a long non-coding RNA of Poeciliopsis prolifica (blackstripe livebearer), 1010 nucleotides long. RefSeq lists it as uncharacterized. NCBI's taxonomy places the organism in Eukaryota, Metazoa, Chordata, Actinopteri, Cyprinodontiformes, Poeciliidae. The record is from RefSeq and is a predicted model, not a curated record. The transcript has 2 exons.